This 356-nucleotide ribosomal RNA is filed under the name Advena campbellii. RNAcentral's name for it is "partial large subunit ribosomal RNA". It matches the Rfam family "Bacterial large subunit ribosomal RNA", at positions 1817 to 2541 of the family's 2925-position model. Lineage: Eukaryota; Metazoa; Mollusca; Gastropoda; Stylommatophora; Helicarionidae. The record is from RNAcentral.
AGUUCUGCGUAGUCUGUGCGGAAUGGAUCCUGCCCUAUGAUUAAUUUUAAAUGGCCGCAGUACUUUAACUGUGCUAAGGUAGCAUAAUAAUUUGGCUUAUAAUUGAAGUCUGGUAUGAAAGGAAGAAUGGAUAGGAGCUGUUUCUAUUGAAUUUAAAGAAACUUACUUAAAAGGUGAAAAUUCCUUUGAUAAUAAAAUAGACGAGAAGACCCUAGGAGUUACUAUAUUUUGUUGGGGCGACAUUUUAGAUUUAACCUAAAUGAUUUGAUCAAACGUUUAUGUGAAUAACAAUUUAACUACCCUAGGGAUAACAGCAUAAUUCCUUAAGGAGAUUGUGACCUCGAUGUUGGACUAGG